This is a small nuclear RNA of Prolemur simus (greater bamboo lemur), 111 nucleotides long. Lineage: Eukaryota; Metazoa; Chordata; Mammalia; Primates; Lemuridae. The record is from Ensembl.
AUGCUUGCUUCGGUAGCACACACAUGUACUAAAAUUGGAACAACACAGAGAAGAUUAGCAUGGCCCCUGUGCAAGGAUGACACGGAAAUUCGGGAAGCGUUCAUAUUUAAA